Molecule: ribosomal RNA, 246 nt
Filed under: uncultured bacterium
Lineage: Bacteria
Description: partial 16S ribosomal RNA
Rfam family: Bacterial small subunit ribosomal RNA
Source: RNAcentral
UACGUAGGGUGCAAGCGUUAAUCGGAAUUACUGGGCGUAAAGCGUGCGCAGGCGGUUUUGUAAGUCUGUCGUGAAAUCCCCGGGCUCAACCUGGGAAUUGCGAUGGAGACUGCAAGGCUAGAAUCUGGCAGAGGGGGGUAGAAUUCCACGUGUGAGCAGUGAAAUGCGUAGAGAUGUGGAGGAACACCGAUGGCGAAAGGCAGCCCCCUGGGUCAAGAUUGACGCUCCAUGCAACGAAAGCGUGGG